RNAcentral lists this ribosomal RNA (274 nucleotides) under uncultured bacterium. Its description in RNAcentral is "partial 16S ribosomal RNA". It matches the Rfam family "Bacterial small subunit ribosomal RNA", at positions 523 to 796 of the family's 1533-position model. The record is from RNAcentral.
AGACAGAGGGUGCAAACGUUGCUCGGAAUUACUGGGCUUAAAGCGCACGUAGGCGGCCAAGUAAGUGUCUUGUGAAAGCCCCCGGCCCAACCGGGGAACUGCAUGGCAUACUGCUUGGCUAGAGUUUGGGAGGGGAGAGUGGAACUCCUGGUGGAGCGGUGGAAUGCGUAGAUAUCAGGAGGAACGCCGAAGGUGAAGACAACUCUCUGGUCCAAUACUGACGCUGAGGUGCGAAAGCUAGGGGAGCGAACGGGAUUAGAAACCCCAGUAGUCC